This 594-nucleotide long non-coding RNA is filed under the name Elaeis guineensis (African oil palm). Its description in RNAcentral is "long non-coding RNA (EGUI_LNC032408)". Lineage: Eukaryota; Viridiplantae; Streptophyta; Magnoliopsida; Arecales; Arecaceae. The record is from RNAcentral.
GGGAGGGUCAUGCAUGAGGCUUGUGGAUUGCGGGAUGUUGGCUUGGUCCAAGCCCAAGCUAGGUUCUGCCGAGGCUUGUGGGCCGAGUCAAGUAUCGGCCAUUAAAGUUUUGUGGAAGACAGGUGGAUAACAGGAGGAACUCAUCUGCACUUCGAUGGAGGUCUUUUAAUACCAUUUAUGUGCACCAAUUUUUUUAGUAAAAAUUCAUGUGCACCAAUUUAAGAUGCAUCAAAUUUCCUUGACAUUGACUUUGUUAUCCGGGGAUAUCCUGGGUUACAUGUUCCAAUGGUACAGCAUCUGAGGAAGAGCAUCAAUUUGUAAGCCCAUUUGCUUUUGUCAUGUUAGUCUGCCUUAUCUCUGCUUGUGGUUAUAUGCAAUCAAGUUGAAUCAUUUGAACGCAUGUUCUUGUACCUCUUUUAUUUCACUUGAGAUAAUUUUGUAGUUCUUGUACCUUAAACUACAAACCGACAAUUUUCUCUCAAUAGACAUCUGAUGUAAUAAUAUUCGAUGCUUAUGUGAUAUUAAAAUUAAAAUAUAUAUAUAUUAAUAUGGUAUUUAUGUGUAUUUUUUUUUUCAUCGUAUUUUUCUAUCUUC